AUCAACUAGGGAUCUUGUUAAAAUGCAGAGUCUGAUUCAGAAGGUCAGGCUGGAGCGGAGGUUCUGCAUUUUUAACUAGCUCCCAGGUGAUGCUGA
RNAcentral lists this microRNA precursor (96 nucleotides) under Loxodonta africana (African savanna elephant). Its description in RNAcentral is "mir-544 microRNA precursor family". It matches the Rfam family "mir-544 microRNA precursor family". Lineage: Eukaryota; Metazoa; Chordata; Mammalia; Proboscidea; Elephantidae. The record is from Rfam by way of RNAcentral.